GCCGGAGUGGCGGAAUUGGCAGACGCGACGGAUUCAAAAUCCGUUGCCCGCAAGGGCGUGUGGGUUCAAGUCCCACCUCCGGCA
This 84-nucleotide transfer RNA is filed under the name Planctomycetota bacterium. RNAcentral's name for it is "Planctomycetes bacterium tRNA-Leu". It matches the Rfam family "tRNA". Rfam says of the family: Transfer RNA (tRNA) molecules are approximately 80 nucleotides in length. Their secondary structure includes four short double-helical elements and three loops (D, anti-codon, and T loops). Further hydrogen bonds mediate the characteristic L-shaped molecular structure. tRNAs have two regions of fundamental functional importance: the anti-codon, which is responsible for specific mRNA codon recognition, and the 3' end, to which the tRNAs corresponding amino acid is attached (by aminoacyl-tRNA synthetases). tRNAs cope with the degeneracy of the genetic code in two manners: having more than one tRNA (with a specific anti-codon) for a particular amino acid; and 'wobble' base-pairing, i.e. permitting non-standard base-pairing at the 3rd anti-codon position. Lineage: Bacteria; Pseudomonadati; Planctomycetota. The record is from RNAcentral.